UGUCCACCCUUCGGGGUGGUCUACUAGUGGCGGACGGGUGAGUAACGCGUUAGCAACCUGCCCAGAGGUGGGGAAUAACUAACCGAAAGGUUAGCUAAUACCGCAUGUGAUAGUCCUUCCCUGGAGGGACUAUGAAAGGCUUCGGUCGCCUUUGGAGGGGCUUGCGUCAGAUUAGCUAGUUGGUGGGGUAAUGGCCUACCAAGGCGACGAUCUGUAGCUGGUCUGAGAGGAUGGUCAGCCACACGGGGACUGAGAUACGGCCCCGACUCCUACGGGAGGCAGCAGCUAGGAAUCUUGGGAAUGGGCGAAAGCCUGACCCAGCAACGCCGCGUGGGCGAUGAAGGCCUUCGGGUCGUAAAGCCCUUUUGCAAGGGACGAUGAUGACGGUACCUUGCGAAUAAGCCACGGCUAACUACGUGCCAGCAGCCGCGGUAAUACGUAGGGGGCAAGCGUUAUCCGGAUUUACUGGGUGUAAAGGGAGCGUAGGUGGUUUGGUAAGUCAGAUGUGAAAGCCCGGGGCUCAAACCCGGGACUGCAUUUGAAACUAUCA
Molecule: ribosomal RNA, 550 nt
Filed under: uncultured bacterium
Lineage: Bacteria
Description: bacterial SSU rRNA
Rfam family: Bacterial small subunit ribosomal RNA
Source: RNAcentral